This 1372-nucleotide ribosomal RNA is filed under the name uncultured bacterium. RNAcentral describes it as "bacterial SSU rRNA". It matches the Rfam family "Bacterial small subunit ribosomal RNA", at positions 28 to 1381 of the family's 1533-position model. The record is from RNAcentral.
GAUGAACGCUGGCGGCGUGCCUAAUACAUGCAAGUCGAGCGAACGGACGAGAAGCUUGCUUCUCUGAUGUUAGCGGCGGACGGGUGAGUAACACGUGGAUAACCUACCUAUAAGACUGGGAUAACUUCGGGAAACCGGAGCUAAUACCGGAUAAUAUUUUGAACCGCAUGGUUCAAAAGUGAAAGACGGUCUUGCUGUCACUUAUAGAUGGAUCCGCGCUGCAUUAGCUAGUUGGUAAGGUAACGGCUUACCAAGGCAACGAUGCAUAGCCGACCUGAGAGGGUGAUCGGCCACACUGGAACUGAGACACGGUCCAGACUCCUACGGGAGGCAGCAGUAGGGAAUCUUCCGCAAUGGGCGAAAGCCUGACGGAGCAACGCCGCGUGAGUGAUGAAGGUCUUCGGAUCGUAAAACUCUGUUAUUAGGGAAGAACAUAUGUGUAAGUAACUGUGCACAUCUUGACGGUACCUAAUCAGAAAGCCACGGCUAACUACGUGCCAGCAGCCGCGGUAAUACGUAGGUGGCAAGCGUUAUCCGGAAUUAUUGGGCGUAAAGCGCGCGUAGGCGGUUUUUUAAGUCUGAUGUGAAAGCCCACGGCUCAACCGUGGAGGGUCAUUGGGAACUGGAAAACUUGAGUGCAGAAGAGGAAAGUGGAAUUCCAUGUGUAGCGGUGAAAUGCGCAGAGAUAUGGAGGAACACCAGUGGCGAAGGCGACUUUCUGGUCUGUAACUGACGCUGACGUGCGAAAGCGUGGGGAUCAAACAGGAUUAGAUACCCUGGUAGUCCACGCCGUAAACGAUGAGUGCUAAGUGUUAGGGGGUUUCCGCCCCUUAGUGCUGCAGCUAACGCAUUAAGCACUCCGCCUGGGGAGUACGACCGCAAGGUUGAAACUCAAAGGAAUUGACGGGGACCCGCACAAGCGGUGGAGCAUGUGGUUUAAUUCGAAGCAACGCGAAGAACCUUACCAAAUCUUGACAUCCUUUGACAACUCUAGAGAUAGAGCCUUCCCCUUCGGGGGACAAAGUGACAGGUGGUGCAUGGUUGUCGUCAGCUCGUGUCGUGAGAUGUUGGGUUAAGUCCCGCAACGAGCGCAACCCUUAAGCUUAGUUGCCAUCAUUAAGUUGGGCACUCUAAGUUGACUGCCGGUGACAAACCGGAGGAAGGUGGGGAUGACGUCAAAUCAUCAUGCCCCUUAUGAUUUGGGCUACACACGUGCUACAAUGGACAAUACAAAGGGCAGCGAAACCGCGAGGUCAAGCAAAUCCCAUAAAGUUGUUCUCAGUUCGGAUUGUAGUCUGCAACUCGACUACAUGAAGCUGGAAUCGCUAGUAAUCGUAGAUCAGCAUGCUACGGUGAAUACGUUCCCGGGUCU